RNAcentral lists this ribosomal RNA (292 nucleotides) under uncultured bacterium. RNAcentral's name for it is "partial 16S ribosomal RNA". It matches the Rfam family "Bacterial small subunit ribosomal RNA", at positions 505 to 796 of the family's 1533-position model. The record is from RNAcentral.
GUGUCAGCAGCCGCGGUAAUACGUAGGGGGCAAGCGUUGUCCGGAUUUAUUGGGCGUAAAGAGCGUGUAGGCGGUUUUACAAGUCCGCUGUGAAAACUCGAGGCUCAACCUCGAGACGCCGGUUGAAACCAUCUGGCUAGAGUCCGGAAGAGGAGAGUGGAAUUCCUGGUGUAUCGGUGAAAUGCGCAGAUAUCAGGAAGAACACCCGUGGCGAAAGCGGCUCUCUAGAACGGUACUGACGCUGAGACGCGAAAGCGUGGGGAGCGAACAGGAUUAGAUACCCUGGUAGUCC